GAGUGAGCUUUCUUGGUUUUGGCCUAUUUUCUUGCUUGUCUUAAUGAUAUCUAAUUUCCCUUUAUAUAAAUGUAAUUGGAAUUGAAAGGCAUUGACAUCUUAAUGUAGUUUAGUGAUUUUAAUAACUGAUGGUGCAUACUGGUACUGUAUCAGAAUGCAAAUUUGAGGUAGAAUUUUAGAUUUUCAAUUUUGGGGGAUUUUGAUGUGUAAUAUGGUCAAUCUCUUCUUUUUUUUUGGAUAUGCAAUAUGGAUAUGGAUUGACUCUCCAUCUUUUGUUAGAAAAAAAUUGUUGUCCCAACCAGGACAGGCUUGUUUGAGCGAGCCGACCUUGCUACUGGCUCAUAUCGGCCUUUGUACCAGCUUGUGUCAGUCAGAACCGAUUGGAAUGGCCAAUUCAUCUCAUUCUCGUGCUUUAAAAAGUGUCAUCCCAAUUGGGGUGGGCUUCGUACUAAUCGUAUUAGCUUUGGUGUCGGUUGGUACCGAUUGGGACAACCAGCACGUCCUGAUUUUGCUUUUUUUUUGGUGAGCCGGUGCCCAUCCAAGUGUCAUUUUUGGACCAAAACAAUAUGGUACCAAUUAUGCCAUCCUCUUUUGGAGGUAUUUAAAUUCGUGCUGAAAGCCGAACCCUUUCACAAAACCAAGUUAGGUCUAGAUCCGGGUUGUAUAUACCCUUGGCUAGCCCGACUUAUACAUUAGCUUGUUUACUUUGUUUGGGUGUGGACUACCAAAGGUAACCCAAAUAAGUCUAAUAUGACUUGCAACAUAGACAAGCAACAAACUUCUCCAUCCCUUAAUCUGAAUCCUUAGCUCCUUUUAAGCUCUCUACAACUCCUCCUCCUCCUACAUCCUUAUCCAAGACUCCUAUCCUCUAGGUCACCCUUCCUAUCCUCACCCUCCUUUCUUGUGGCCCUUCUGCUCGUCGCAUCACUCCUCCAACAUCUCCUCUAAUGAAGUCAUUGAUACUCCUCUUCUGCUUGCUCUUUAAGGAGUCGUUCGAUAAAGCAUGGUUGCUGCUCAUGGUCAUAUUGAUGAGGCCUCUUGGGAGAAUGUUAUUCAUUGAAUGAUUAUUUAUGCAAUUUAGAAGUUGAAUUUUGUCGUAAUGAUUUCUUUUUUAAAAUUUGUUGUUUGCUUUACUUCUCUUUGCAUUCUCUCUCCUAUGUAUUCAUUACAGAACUUGGAAAAGUUUUAAUUGAUUGACAAAGUGAAACAUGCUAAUUGGAUUAAGUAUGAUACAUGAACAUCUCUCUUGUAUGACAUCUAACAUCUUUUUGUUUUUUUUGUCUUUGUGCCUUUAUAGUUUAUUUGGUCUCAAGGAAAAAGGCUUGAAAAACUUCUCCUUGGAAAAGCCUUUAUAUGGUUGUUUAUUUUGCAAGAAAAGCUUAUAAUAUGGAAAAUCACGUUUUACAUUUGUUGGAACAUUUGACUUUGUUUUCAAAAAAAGUAGAGGAAAAUAAAGCUUCAACUUUCUUAGAAUAUUGUGGUCCUCAAAAAAGUAGAUAGCUUUUAGUGGUUACUUGUGUGGACUGUCAUAGCCACUAAAUAACAAGAAAAGAGUAGUGGGGUCUUCCUUUAUGUUAUUGGUAUUUUUAGGUUGUAUAAGGUUUUUUUGCUUAUUUACAUUAGACCAAAUGUCACAGCUCGGGACGGGACAUGGACUAAGACCUGAAAAUUAGAGCAAGCAAUAGCCCGAACAGUCAGCCGAAUAAAUUUUAGAUUAGUUUCUAUCAUUUCUUACAAUUUGUUGUUCUUCCAGUUUGAAAAUCUUUGGACUUGAAGUUAUAUAACAUGUUUUCAGCUGUAAUUUUGGUCAAGCCAUAGACUACUAAACAUGAAUUGUACAAAAUUAAAGGACAGGAAGCUUCCUAUUAUUAUCAUAUAUUUUGUUAUAUUAGACUAAGUUGCUUAUGUUGGAAUGUGGUCUUCAUAUGUAUGUAUUGGUGACUCUGUAUAUUUAGUAUUGAAAUUUUUGGUUUUGAUUCUUGAAUAUUUUCUUUCUUUCUUUCUUUCUUUUUGUGUGUGUGUGUAUCAAUUGGUUAGUCUUGACUCCUAAGGUGAUUCUUUGUUUACAUAUUUACUGUUAAAUGAUAUAUCCAAUUUACUUUUAAAUGCCACUAGUGAUAAUUAAUGAAAGUAUGAGUACCGAAGUUUGAAGUUCACUUAGUGGUAUUGCUUCUCAAAUUGACUAGACUAAAGUUGGUAGUAGAAGAAGAUAAGUGUGAAAAAAAAAAAGUGAAAAGAGACUUGCCUAAACCUGAAAAUAGAAUAAUUCAUCGGAGUACCAGUACCGCUAUCCAUAACGAUAAUUUAUUGGUACAUGUUGACUGGUAUGGUACCAUAUUGUACCCACACAUGGUAUGUCUCUUGGUGCCAGCACUAUAUUAAUGAGGUGCUGUACCAUGUGUUGCAAUAGACAGGUACAGAGGGGCAUCCUGGCGUCAGUACCUUACUGAUACAAUAUAGUAUGGGUGGUAUAGGCUGAUACACACCGGUAUUUAGAUCCUUGCUCACAAGUAUAAAACAAGAACCUUACUAAAAAUGUUCUUUGCAAUAAUAAUUUUGGUAGCUAAUCUUAGCUUGAAAUAUUGUUAAGUAGCAAGUAACUUAGCUUUCUAUAUGCUUGACCCAGUAAGAAGCUGUGAAUGUAGCUGAUUAAUUGCUACUUUACAAUUCAUAAUUUCCAUUAGCAACUAACGCUAAUAACAUUUGUACUUGUAGUGAAAUACAGAGUUGUUUUUAUGGGAACAUUUUGGGCGAAAAAACAAAUUUAUUUUGUAGUACUAUAAUUGUAAGAUUUAAUUGACUAGAUCAUAAUCCAGGGUAAACUAAGCUGUGUUUGUAUUCAAUCAGUUCGACAUAUAGGUACACUAUUAAUUCAUAGCUUUUUUUGAAAUAAUGCAAUCAAGUGUAUCAGUCGCUAGUCCCACUAAACCACAAGGUCAAAUGAAAAGUCUGAAUGGUAGAUGCAUAUCAGUUAGCCUAAUAAUUGUUCUCAUUAUAUGUUGAGUGCUUAUUGCUUCCAGUGUCUUAUAUCGUUAGAUUCUAAAUUGGAGCUUGUUUGAGUCUAUAGACAUAGGAUGAAAUGAACCUAAACUAGCAUUCAAUAGUUAGGCAGCAGAUUUCAAUAGGAAUAGGAUGAAAAGUCGCCUUAGAAACAGUUGAAAAUUAAAUGCAACUAUUCUCAAAAAAUGAAUAGUGGCUAAUGCUAAUGCAUAAUAAUUAAAUGCAACUUUUCUCAAAAAAUGAAAAGGGACUAUGGUUCAAUUGACCUAUUGGCUUAUAAUUUUGGCUUCAGAAAUGAACUCAUCUCCCUAUAUAAAAUUUUGUGAUCUUCUAUCUUCAUCUAGAUUCUUUUUAUGUCUAGGAAAAUAUCAAAGGACUGCUCCCUGUGACAUGAGGCUGCUAUUAAUUACCAACAUUUGAUGUUUAUGCAAAAAUUACCCCUAAUUGUUUAGCCUAUGGAAGAAGUGGCCAUUAGAGGUAUUGAUUUUACCGUGAUUGUGAAAUAUUGUAUUGGAUCUGUUCCUACACCAUAAGCUUGUCUAUUGUAAGAUUUUUUUAAUACCUGAGGAGAUAUGACCUAUCUAAAGAGUAUAUAUAUGGGAUAUCCUAAUAGUAACUUGACAGCUUAUCAACAUUUCAACUGUUGUACCUUUUACUAAGAUGGUCCCUAUGCCAAAUUAUGCUUUCCUAGAAUCUUCCUGUGAGCUUCAAGCACCAACUGCUGAUUAGCUCGUCCUUUGUUGAAUUGUCAUUUUCUCUUUGUAGUGACUCCUUCCAACAGCUUUAGUCAGAUUUCAACACCAGAAUAUGGCUAGAUUUGUAUCAGUGGCCAUCCUUAAUUUGCUUGAACUACACCAAAUCAAAGAGAUCAGUUUUAUUUUUCAUGACAAUCAGCAUCUGUGUGAGAUUCCUGUUUGGCGAGCUAAAUAACAUUUUAUUACCUGGCUUUUUUAAGAGUGCUGAAUAGCUUCAUAAUGACAUUGUUUUUUUUUUUGAAUGCUUUUUCAACAUUUUUAAAUUUAGUUGUUUAUGGUUCUGCUAGUUGAGGGUGAGCUAGGGCUGAAAGCGGGUCAGAUUAUAUCCGACCGUAUCUAUUUUCGUAUUCGAUUCAUAUUGGAUUCGGAUACUGUUUUUUUGGUCUGAUCAGAUACAGGUACGGAUUCGAAUAGUCAGUUCAAAAAUCUUCCGGAUACGGAUAUGGAUGCGAAUAUACCUGAUUUUUCCGGAUUUGGAUAUCUGUAUAAUAAGGGUAAGUGAAAAGAAGAAUUUUAAGUUAAGUUAAAUUAGAGAAUCAAUUAAGUAAUUAACCAAAUCUUAACUAAAAGGAACUCAGAUAUCAGAUGACCAUUACUUAAGACAAUAACCCGAAUAUAGAAUACUUGAUUCGAAUAAGAUCCUUCGAAUCGCUUCGCAUGCCUGAAAGGCACAAAUCUCUCGUUCGUCCAUUUCAUCCUUUUUUUCCUCUUCAUCAUCUUCAAGCAACUAGGAUUUCGAAGGUUCGUCCAUUUGUUAGUUUCUACCCGGCGGUUGCAACCGGUGACAACCAUGAGAUAUCUUGGAGGCGGCAUAGAUCUCCUCUACUUUGGUGACGAGCAACCUUGAGCGAUAUAUUCUUUAUGAAGUUGUUAGUUUUUAUUAUUGAUAAAUACUUGUUAAAAUUAUAUUUUUUAAAUUGAUUUUUUUAAUGAUCAUGUCUUUAUUUCUAGUUUUCAUCUUUGAAUUUUGCUCAAAUUUGAUUAAUAUCUGAAAAAGUAUAUGAUCUAUAUCUAUAUUCGGAUAAGAAAAUAUAGAUAUGUUCAAUAUCCAAUUUGUAUCCAUAGCCGUUUAUAACAACUAUGGAUAUGUUUAAUAUCCGAUUCGUAUCCGUAUCCGUAUCCGUUUAGAACAAAUAUGAAUAUUAAUUUUAAUAUCCGUUUAAUAUUCGUAUCCGUAUUCGUUUAAAAAUAUGGAUAUAUCAAUAUCCGAUCCGUAUUCGAUCCGUUUUCAGCCCCUAGGUGAGCCUUGGUGCAACAGUAAUGUUGUUCCAUUUUGACUGAAACACAGAAGUAGCGUCUCCACAUGCAAGGGUAAGGUUGCGACAUCUAAUCCUCCCCAAAUCUCGCAAUGGUGAGAGCCUUGUGCACUGGCUGCCCUUUUUAUGGUUCUUCUGGUUAAUUUUGGUCAAUUAGAUCCCCUUAGUCUUAGGAUCAUCUGAAUUACGGGAAAACCAAAUCCUGCACAUAUUUAAUAGCAUUAUUUGUCAUUUUGCUUGAGUCACCUGCAGACUCCAGUUCAUUGCAACUGUUUUGAUUGUUCAACAAGUCACUGAAAUGUUAUUUUUCUCUUUUUCAUGUCUUUUAUAUUCUUCCCAUGGAUUUCUUUUGGUAUAUCUGUGCUACUUGUAUAGUUUUCUGCCAUUGGGUGCGUAUAACUUUUGGAAGGACCAAUUGCUUCACGCUGUUCACCACAUCUAUGAUCAUCUUUAGAAUCUGAAAUGUUAGAUCAUCCCGAUAGGCUACUCCUUCCAACAGUGGAUUCGUUUCAUCCUGUUCAACAUCGAUCCAGGUAUGAUAGCAAGUCAUGUGAAGCCAAAACAUUAUAACCUUUCUCUCUGGCUGGCUGGCUGGCUGGCUGGUUAAAUCAUUCAGCUUGCUUAUGCAUCACUUUCCUUUCGUAGAUACUGCAUCAUUUGUUUGCCCAUAACAUUCAGAUUAUCUCUGCAUGGAUGAGAGAGUUUCUGUCUUUUGAUUUUGGCAGGAAAGUUUAUGAUGAAAAAAAAUAUGGUCUAUUUUAACAGCUAGGUAUAGGUGACAAUUGCUUUGAUCUUUUACAGGUCAAAUAUACAGCUGUAUCUUGGUCUUUGGGGAUAAGUUUUAUCUUUUCUACUAUAACAUGAUCCCAACUUUAGCUUGUUUUCCUUCUUUCAGAAAAUUGGUUAUAGCCUGUAUGAUGCUUGCAGUUUGAGUGUAAGGUUUAGACCUUACAUCCAAUCUAGGAAAUUUAUUUUCUAUGCAUAAUCAACAAAUUGUAUUUGUCAUACUUCCCUGGUUCUCUCAUUAUAAGAAAAAUGAUUUUAUUUAAGAAGAAUGAAGGGAAAGGACUUUGCAACACCAAGAAUAUCUAUAGUUGUGUAGUUAUGAUGCGAUUAAGGUUAAGCAUGAGAAUAGGGUGGGUCAACCCUAGGGGUAGCCAUGGGUUGGGUCAGACUAAGUUCGGGUCAAAAACACUCAACCCAUACUAGGUAGAUUUAUAAUUGUGUUUGAAAAUAUAAAUCCACACCCAUCCCAUUUAUUUUAUAUAAACCGAUACCCACCCAACAACACAUUUAAGUUCUCACUUCACUGGUCAAUCAUACACAACUGAAAAAUGAAGCAAAUUGUAGUAUGCACAAAUCACAAAUCAUAAAAUCAAAUUUAAUUUCAUAUAACUAAUUGCAAUCAUAAUGAACUUGAAAAAUUAUUAAAAAAAUAUGAAAGUCAUAAACUAAUCAAGAAUAUAACUAGCUAAAUGCAACCCGAUAUCCCAAAAUCUCAUAGCCUAUCCUGUAUUUUCACUUUAACCUUUUUUUUUGGUAGUGAAACAAACUAUAUGAAAAAAUUAGAGAACUAUCAACUAUAUGGGUAUGGAAGCAAUUGGUUCCCAGCCAGAUCACCUUGGUCCACCCAUUGGGUCCGGAGUCUGAGCCCAAACCUGCCCAUUUAUAAUCGAGAUGAUUUUGGGUCAACUUGGAACUGACUUAAUUUCGAAGCAUCCCCACCCAAACCUAUUUGUUUCACAUGGGCUGGUGUGGAUGGGUGGUUCCGGGAUAGAGUUUGCCACCCCCAAUCACCCCUCCCUUUUCCUAAAAGAAGAAGAAAAAGGUUAAGCACGAGAAGAAAAGGCCUGGUUGAAAGUUAAUGUGAGCUGUUGAGUGGCAGUGGCCUAAAUCAAAACUUGAUAGCAAUGUGAAAUGUUGUGGGGAAAAUGUUUGUGGAUUUGGUGCAGUAUGGUUUGAUAGGUUUGUUACUUGUAUGCUAUUUUAACCAUCUUUUGACUAUUCUUUCCUGAUGUUUCUGCCUUUUCUGCUUAACACGAGGUCGAAGAGCUAUCAAAGGAUGACUACUACUCCAAGAACAAUGAGUUUUCAACCUGGUUGAAGGAAGAGAGAAGUAUAUAUUUCUCUGACCUUUCAUCUGAGGCUGCACGAGAUCUAUUCUCAAGUUUUGUCAAGGAUUGGAACAACCAAAAGCUGCAUUCUCGGUACUAUGAGGGCAUUACUAGUGGACCUCGGACAGCACAUAACUGGAAAAUCAAGCACGUUAAAUAGGCCUGGAUACCACAGGCAGCAGGGAUGCUACUGAAGCUUCACCAUGCAUUGGAUACUUCUGUUAGUAACAGCAUAGCUAGCUUGUUUUAUUUAUUUUUCUUUUCUCAGUGCAUGGAUAUGUCCUGUAUUCUACAUUAAAUCAAAUUUCAAUCUGAGACAAAGUAUGGAGAUGUCCUGGACAUAUACUGAUCCUUAGGGAAUAAAAUGUAUCUUUUCUUUCUCAAAUCCAUGAAACUAAUAUGUUAUGCAUAUUUCACCAUGUCUCUUAUUUUAAUUUGAGAUGAUUGUCUUUGUUAAUGGGAAAGCUUGAAUCAGUUUUGUAGCCUCAGUCUUUUAUCAACAGUAUUAGCCCGUUUUCCCAUCACAGAGUGGUUUGUCGUCCAAGCAUUUAAAUUUUAUUACACGUAGCUUUGAGUUUUAUUAUACAUUUUAUGCAGGCAUUCAUUACAUAAGCAAUGAAGUGUAUUUUCAAUAAAAAAAAAAAAUCAAAAUUGCAUACAGUUUGCCUCAUUCUGCAAUAAUCUUUUAAGAAAUUGAGUUUCAAUUUGGAUUCUUUUGCUUGCAUUCCUAAUGUACCAAGUGUCCCAAAGUUACCAGGAAAACCAAACCUUUUCACAAAAUAAAGCUCCAAUAAAAUCAUGUUGAUGUUGAAACUUGUUGCCGAUGGAAUGGACAUUGGCACAAUAGAGACCUAUACAUUUGUAUCCUCAUCAAAAUUUUUUUGUCUAUCAGAUGCUAGCGAAGGUGAUAGGAAUGAACAUGUCACCGCAUUGUGAUUGUUGUUGGAUUUUCUCUCCUUUACAAGUAUCCAAUAAAUAUGGAGGUAAUUGGUGCACUUAGAAGAUGAGCCGAUGGACAUAAACAUUUUACAUCAAUACAUGGACAUUAACAUGCAAACGAGUCUAGCCUCAAGUAAUGUAUUGAUGACUGAAAAAUCGAAUGCCCAUCUUGUUUUGAAAGGCUUAAGGUCGCAUACUUAUGAUCAAAUUUUGGUGGAUUUGACCCCUUGGACACCAAGACCUCAGCAGAAGAGUCUUGCCAGAAAAAACGGAAUAAAAUAUAUGAUAAUCAUCUCAUUAACUGAAAAGCCUCAAAGACCCCCAUGGAUAAAACAACGGUAUGGAUAACAAGACGACAAUCGCACAAUUGACAGCCUGCAGCUUUGCAUGAGGAGAACUCUUGAAUCAGAGUUCAUAUUUGAAGGCAAAAUUAAAGGCGUAAAAGGUAAUCAAAAUUUACAAUCCUCAGGCCAAAGGAUGAAAAAGUUGUGAUUAUUUCAGCAGUCAAAUGCUCGCUGCUAGAGCCUGCAAAGAUGAUGAAACAACAAGAUUUUGCGAAGCAUGAACUGAGAAUCGGCAAAACUCAAACUGACAAUUUUGUCGAGAUAAAUCUAGAAUUGCCUCAAUGUUUGGCAUCUUCCUCCUCACAGAAUUUUGCAUAUAGGUCGGAAUCCAUCAGUGAGUCCAACUCGCCUGCAUCACUCAUUUUGACCUUUAUAAUCCAUCCAUCAUCAUAUGCGCUAGCAUUCACCUGAUUCAAGAAAAACAUUUCAAGUUAUCAUCUUUAGCAAGAUUUUCAUCUUUCAAACCCAAAACUUAACAAGCAGCACAAAUGUAGGUCUAUUACAAGGUUUUAGGCAUGGCCACCACCCAGGUUCAAACCCAGGGCAUCUUCCCUGUUGCAUACACUUAGGGAUGCCAACUUGCAGCCCCAACUACCGCUGGAAAAAGGUUGCUGACAACCUUGCAGAUGGAGCUAGGGUUAUUCCAGAUCGUGUCAUCUGGGUUUCAAAUGUUCUCAAGUGAUUUUUCUUACUUUCUAAAGCUGAGGCUAAUAUGUGAGGAAUUUUACAUUGGGGAGCUCACUCUCCUUUACUUGCCAAAAAAAAUGAGCACCAACACAAACAGCAUAGAAAUUCCAGCAUCCAAACAUUAUCUAUCAAAGGACACUAGAAUAAUCAAGGUAUCUUUGCUUUUCUAGGAAAAAUAGAUCUAGGAAUUCGCACUGUUAGCAGACCCAUAUGAUGGUCAAAGGUGCGCGGUAGCUCAACCUGACUGCUGAACCCGAUCGAACCCUGGAGAUGGACCUGUGUCAAUUAACUUUGAACAAUGGUCUGAUGUUGUUAGGCCUCAUGUCUAAAAUCAACUAACUUACCAAAAAUGAAUCUAGCAAAUUUCCUUGUAGAUGAAAGGUCAGAAAUGGGACAGUGCGGGAACAACCAUUACCAAGUCCAAAAGUUAUCGACCACUAGCUUUGCUGGUCAGCUUUAUUCACCCCAGCCCACAGAGGAAUUUUAAGAUAAGCAGAAAAAAUUUAAUUUGUUUAGUGAUCAGAAAGCAAAAGAAAAUGAAAGUGGUACUCCUGUGGACCUGAAUGUCUUUAAGUUCAUGUGCCCUUGCAAAACAUAGUUCCAAAAAUCCUUUAUUUGUGAAUUCUCCUUUCUACUUCUAUGACCAUCCAGCCAUCUUUCUUACAAGGAUUCCAACUAAUGAAGGAUAUACCCUAGUACUACUUGGGUUAAAAAAGGAAAAAAGGAUUUGGUGAGAGUGCUAACAUCAAGGUAGGCCGAACCGGACCAAACCGCCCAGCACACCAAAAAAAAAAAAAAAAUACUAAAGGCACCAGUAGCCCCAAUGGAGAGUGUGGAGGAGUCAGUUCACUUAGAUUCAAAGAUUAGGAACAACAGUUCUAGUGGUCAUAGAUCUGUAGAUCAGGAAGGGAGUGGAGGAUAUGAGACCACUAUUUAUAAGACAACCACAUGGUAGUCUUCGAUUCACCAAUGACCCCUAGUUUAUGCAUGCUACACAGGAUAAAGACCACGGUCCACGAUCUGGUGGAGCCAGCAAGAAUCUGAUUACAUAUAGAAAAUGGGCUCCUCGAGGUCAUUCAGAAAGACACGAUGCAGCUUCAGAUAACCUCACACGCGCGGUAAGAUCCAUAAACAUAUCAAGUUCUUUAGCAUAUUGAAUCCUAUUACUCACAAUCACAAACAACCUAUAACCCAUUCGGAUAUGGAUAUGAAUAUUGUGCGUCUGAGACAUCUUCCAGUGGCUACUAUCCUAUGCAGCCUAGAGCAUCCUAUGAGUCGGAUUUUGCUGUCGGCUUAUUCAGAUAAGCCCCUCCACAGCCGUUUUAUCAGUUUUAUUGGCCAGUUUUUCAGCCAGAGGAUACCUUUCAGAGUCAGAGCUUCAGCAAGAGAUCCAAGAGUGCCUAAAACCCUAAGCACGUUCCUUAUGGGAUGAACAUACAAGACUACAACGCCUUUUGAUUACAAGGGUGGGCAGAUGUACCUCCUGCCUAUGCCAAUGAUCCAAAUAUCAACAAGAGGCGUCGCCACUCGACGAGAUUUUAGAUAUUGAUACAUACGUUGUACUUUAAAUAUAUAUAAUUGAUUGUAUUAUUUUAUAUUUUUCACCUCACUACUUGAUUUGAGGAUAUUUUAUAUUGUUUCUUGUAGCAUGCAACAUUUCACUAAUCAUUUUAUAUUUUAUAUCGUUUUAAAAUAACAAGAUGCAUCAUUUAAGUUAAACGGAAUUAUAAAAACAUUAAAAAAAUAAAAAAUAAAAAAAAUAAAAAAAAAGAUUGAUUAGUAAUUAAAUCAACUUGAAAAACUCCAAAAAAAAUUAGGUGUGCCGGUUCUAUAAGCGUACUGUGUGUCGGUACCAUACGCCGACCGGUAUAGGUUCCGGUACCAAUUUGGUGGACCUUAGUCUAACAUUGUUAUUAUUUUUCGUAUAACAUUAUGGAAGCCGGUACAGAACUGACAAGUCCAAACAUACCGUGUGCCGGUACCGUCCACCGACUGGUACAGGUCCCGGUACCGAUUCGGCGAGCCUUGACUAACAUUGUUACUGUUUUUUGGUAUAACAUUAUGGAAGCAAAACACAAGGGACUAAAUACCAUUACUUUUUGUGAUCACCUCUCCUACCCACUUUAACAAUCUAUUAUGGUACUUUUUUCCCCGUGCACAAUUCCCCCAUGAACUAGGUGGAACUACACCUUCUAAGUAGAUUGAAACCCUCGACUCAUUUGAUUCCUGUUUGGGGUGCAGAAAAUUCUCUUUACCGUGAAGGUCUUCGAAUACAUGAACUUGGUCAUUGUACCAAGUAUCUUAUAAUGAUACUCUAAUAGUUAUGAUGAUACAUGAAUACAAAUCAAGAUGUAACUAGCAUAGCUAUUUGAUCCUAUAUUGAGCCAAAAAGCAUGAUUUCCUGUUUAAGGGGGCACAUUGCAAACAUAUAAUUGUCAUGAGAUUCAUGGUGCUGCAGCACAAACCAAUAACAAAAGUUUAAUUGGUUUUGUUUCUGGCUAUUACUUUAUUCAAUGGCCUAAACUAUAUGGGUGACCUACAUCAAAUCUGAGUUAAUGAUGAUAUAAGUAUCCUUACCAAGUGGUUCACAAUAGUAUUGCUAAUGUCUCGACAAGUUAGAUUGAAUUCAAAAUUGUCCUCAUCGCUCCAAUGAUAAAAGGAUAAAAAAGUUAAUUGAAUGGGAAAAGGAGGACAAAAAGAGGGCUGUUCUUCAUGCUUGCUGUUGUCAACAGAUAAGAAUAGAGUGAAAACAAAACAAGAGGAAAGAAAAGAAGAUGACAUGAAGAAAUAAGGAAGAAUGGAAGGUCAAAGAAGGAUAAAAGGAGAGAUAGGAUAAGCAGAAAAUGGAAAUAAUUCAUUUAUUCAAUUCAUCAUUUGGAUGAAUAGAAUGUGGGUGGUCCUAACUUAACAGUCAUGUCCACUAAAUUUCUAAAGGAGUGCUUAUCGACUUGCUAUGCUACUCUUUGAAAAUGUCCUAAAAUCUAGAAACUAUUUUAAGUGGGAUAUGUCACCUAAACACGGGAUAAGAACCUCUCCUACUUACAUGUCCAGAUAUCUAAGAAGAUAAACAUAAAAUACAAAGGUAUCAGAUGCAAGGAAAUCAAGGAGAGAUCUGAAACUUAGUCCCCUACAAAUUUUAGCAGACAACUAGAGAACAUAAAGUUGAUUUUCCUUUUCAAUGCCUCCCGUUGAAAAACUAGAAAAAAACAUCAUGAAGCCUGUCAUGUACAAAUGGUACAACAAAGAAUGAAAGAAGAAGGUUGAAUAAACGAUUUACUAUCAAGUACCAAUUCUAAAUUAUGAUUAUAGUUUAAUGGUCAAGUUAACAAAGAUCUUACAAAUGCCUAGUAAGUCUCAGUUGGAUGUGAUUAUGCAUUCUAUACAACAUAAAAAGGAGAAAGCAAUUCCUUAGAUGUCAUAAGAAGAUAGGUUAGAACUGGACAAGACAAGGUUGUGAAGAAGGUAGCUUGAGUAGGGCUCAUUUGCCAUGAAAAUGGUAAACUAAGUGAGAAUUCCAUCAAAUUCAUCAAUAAAAAUGGCUGUCAGGCAACACAUACCAAUCCAGGAGAGCUAUUUAGCUCAGUGUUAACUUCAACUACUUCUCCGGAAACGGGAGAAUUGAUGUCACUAGUAGCCUUGACACUCUCAACUGCUCCGAAAUUCUUUCCCUGUGUCACAUUGGUGCCAACUUCAGGCAAUUCCACAUACACAACAUCACCCAAGUGGUCCUGAAAACAAAACAGCAUAAAUUGAGUUUAGUAAAAUAACGAACCAAACAAACCAUUUAUGAGUUAUGUUGAACUUGAUAGAAAUAGGAAAAUUAGCUAAUAAGCAGCAAACUUCAACUCUUUUGGAGCACAGUGGAGAGCGCUACUCUAUCAAGAUGAACAAAGAAAAUAUUCCUAUACCACAGCUAAACUUGGCAACUUGGCCCGAAGUGAUGAGUUAAAUAACAGUAUCUUGUUUGAUGUUAUGUUACUCAAACAAUUAGAAAUCGAAAAAGCAUUGUGCUUGCAUGAUAAAACUGAUCAAGUAUAAAACCUGAGCAUGGUCUGUUAUUCCAACUGUUGCAGAAGUACCGUCAACUUUAACCCACUCAUGCGUGUCGGCAUAUUUCAAAUCCUUCAUAACUGCAAAUGAAUAAAAUAGAAUUGAUUCUGUAACUUCCAAAGAAAGUACAGGCAUGCAAUAACCACUCUUCCAAGUUUAACUGUCCAUUACCCUUCACUAUAAUGUGUAUACAGUACUUUGAUUUACCAUGCAUGUACUUGUAGAUUUGCCAUGCAUGUACUUGUAGAUUUGCAAUGCAUGUGCAGUCAUAAAUUAUCUAACAAACAUAUAAUAAGAAUAUCUUUGCCAGCUUGAGCCACUCACAAAGCAAGUGAACCAUGCAGCUAUAGUUUGUCUAGUAACUAUUAAGAAUUCAUGAUCCAAUGGAAUUUCACCAAGAAAUCUGUGAACUAUUUAGUAGGCUAAAUUUAGGGGAAGAAGCAAGUAAGAGGAAAUAAGCAAUGAUCAAUUUUUAAUGUGCUUGCGUGUUCAAAAAAAACAGAAUGGAUGAGCAUUCAAGUCAUCACAAUACAACAGGGUAUGAGCGGUGAGAACAAGCUCUGAUUGGAAAAAAAAUGCUCUAAAGCCAAACUUCCCUACACACUUCACAGGAAUGUGAGAUAUUGACCAAGAAUAACAUUUGUCUCCCAGUGGAUGAGGGGGACCCCGAGUUAAAUGCAUACAUUAUUAAUGGAAUAUCUAUCAGUAAACCAAAUCAGCAUUUUUAGACAUCCUCAACUAAGUGCAAAGGUAGGAGAGUAGAAGAGAGAUAAUAAGAAAGAGUCCAAUCAUCAUAGCAAAUAAUCCAAAGCAGAGUAAUAUAAUAAACAUUCUAAGGACCAGUUAUUAACGCUUACUAAUAUGAACUCCAUGGUUAAUAUUAGGCCUAGGGGUGUACACGGGUCAGGUCGGAUCGGUUUGGAACUAAACGCAAAACCGAACUGAUUUCAACCAGUUUCCUAAAAUCAAAAUCGAAACCGAACCAAUCAUCUACAAAAACUGCUUGAAACCAACCUAAAAAAUUUUGAUUCAUUUCGUUCAGUUUAUUAGGUUGAUAUUCAAUGGGCUAGGCUAAGUCUAAAUAUAAAAAAUUUCAUUUUAUAUAGGGUUAAUAUUUAAUGGUCAGGACUAAAUGGGCUGGGCUAUGUCUAAACAUAAAAAUUAUAUUUUAUAUAAAAAAUAUAAAAAAAUAAAAAUAAAAAUUUUUAUAUAUAGGCACACAUAUGGGUCGGGUCAGUGGUUUGAAUCGGUUUUCUAAAAAGUCAAAUCGAAACUAAACUGAAUUUUUUCGGUUCAAGACUUUCUCCAACCGAAACCAAACAGAAUUUAAAAAAAAAACAACAAAAGCCGAAUCGAAGAGACCGGUUCCUGUUAGGUUCGCAGUUCGGCUGGUUUUUUGCACACCCCUAGUUAGGUCUAAAGAUAACAAGGAAGACAAGAACAUUUACUAGUUAAUAAUAAUGAAUAGGAUGUGCAAUAAAUUGAAUAUUUUCAAAACGUGUUAAUCAUAUUGUUCAUAAACUAGGUAAUCAUAAUAUGCUAAAGCAUGUUCACUUUCAACAAGAUGAAGGCCAAUGGAAGUGUGAUGACAUUUUUGGCUUGAAUAGUACACAAUCUUUUAAUCUUAAAGACCAAAUGAGCUAACCGUGAAUUGGUUUCCUGGCAAACUCCUGCAUGCAAAAGGAGAGUCUUCAUCUUAAUGCUAAAAGAAACAUAUAUAUCCUAGUACAAAUGUAAGUAUGGAAUCUUUUAACAACUUCAAUUACAUGAAAGCUUUGAAGAAGUGAACUCAGAUACUAGUAUUACUUCCAGUCGCUAUAUAAUCCUCAACUUUGUUCUCAUACAAAGGAAAUACUGGAGAGGCAUGGACCAAGACAAGGGAAGUGCUGCUUAUUCAAGUCAUGUAUUUCCGACAGAAUAUACUUGUUCUAUGGACAAUAUCACUUUGGAUCUCAAUAGUCAAGGGUCUUACUUUUCUGAAUACUCGUCCAAAUGUCUGAAAUGUAAUUAGGUUUUCUACCUACUCAAACCUUCACCUUCGGUGAAUCUCGAAAGGGGUUCAUUUUCUAUUUGAUGUAGACUGAGGUGCUGUUACAUGCCACCUGCUGCACUUACCAGCAAUGUCACAUGCAUGACAGCCUCCAAUUCUAAUUGGCUGCACUGCAUACUCAUGAUUCUCGCUUUGAUAGUCUAGCCCUUACUAAUCACCAAUCAAAAAGUGGAUUUCUUCAUUUCUAAUACCGUUUGCAGGAUUAUCUCCCUAUCAUGAGCUAAAUUAUGUUAGUUCUUCAAUUUCAGCCCAAAAUGAAUGUAUCCUGAGUCUUCUCCAUUUUAUUGGCAGGUUUUCCUUCUACUUGUUAAUGAUCAAAAAAUCUAAAUUUGUCUUUGAGACUUUAAACAUCCUCAAGGAAAUGGAUGGUUCAUAAUGUUCCCACACAAACAAUUAGCUGAUCUCUGUGUAUUUGUUUGCAUGUUUGGUGUUUGGGUCCUUGUCAGCAUGAAAAGAGAUCCAGAGUUUUCAAGUGUCCUAUAUGUUCCAUUUCAUCUAGGGGUUAGAUUUAUUAUAUCAGCGUUGUUUCCUAAUCCUAGCAUAUGACCCAAGGAUUAGACACCCGGUUUGACUUGGUCCAUCACGGAUAAGAUGAGAGAAAUAACAAGUCUCGAGAAAACUGCAGGAUCCUAGGUCUCUAUGGACCAUGUCAUCCCCAUAGGUCUUAGUUGGGAUGGACAAGGACCUAUGCAUCCUAACAAUUGGGAUGGCCUAGUGUCCUAGUAAGUUGGGAUGCCAAUUUGAUUAAUUUAUUAUGGACCAAGAUCUAUGCAUUUUGACACUUGGAAUUGCCUCGCAUCACAAUAACUCACUGAGAUGCCAAUUCUUUUAUUUACUUUUUUUACUUUUUCUUUAUUUUUUAUUUUCAAUUAUUGUUUAGAAAUUUUCUUAUUAUUCUACUUAAGUUCAUUGACUUUCUUGUUUAUGAUUCAUUUGAUAAGUGGUGCUUCAUUUAAAUUUAUUGUUAUUUUUCAAAUUUUCAAACUACAAGUAUUGGUAUUGGUAUCUAUACCACAAACCCAACC
Molecule: long non-coding RNA, 16220 nt
Filed under: Phoenix dactylifera (date palm)
Lineage: Eukaryota; Viridiplantae; Streptophyta; Magnoliopsida; Arecales; Arecaceae
Description: long non-coding RNA (PDAC_LNC003104)
Source: RNAcentral